GCAGCAGUGGGGAAUAUUGGGCAAUGGAGGAAACUCUGACCCAGCGACGCCGCGUGCGGGAUGAAGGCCUUCGGGUUGUAAACCGCUUUCAGUAGGGAAGAAGCGAAAGUGACGGUACCUACAAAAGAAGCACCGGCUAACUAUGUGCCAGCAGCCGCGGUAAUACAUAGGGUGCAAGCGUUGUCCGGAAUUAUUGGGCGUAAAGAGCUCGUAGGUCGUUUGUUACGUCGGAUGUGAAAACCUGAGGCUCAACCUCAGGCCUGCAUUCGAUACGGGCAAACUAGAGUUUGGUAGGGGAGACUGGAAUUCCUGGUGUAGCGGUGGAAUGCGCAGAUAUCAGGAGGAACACCAAUGGCGAAGGCAGGUCUCUGGGCCAAUACUGACACUGAGGAGCGAAAGUCUGGGGAGCGAACAGGAUUAGAU
RNAcentral lists this ribosomal RNA (423 nucleotides) under actinobacterium SCGC AAA278-P07. Its description in RNAcentral is "bacterial SSU rRNA". It matches the Rfam family "Bacterial small subunit ribosomal RNA", at positions 348 to 783 of the family's 1533-position model. The record is from RNAcentral. Lineage: Bacteria; Bacillati; Actinomycetota; Actinomycetes.